CCGAUAGUGAACCAGUACCGUGAGGGAAAGGCGAAAAGAACCCCGGCGAGGGGAGUGAAAAAGAACCUGAAACCGUGUACGUACAAGCAGUGGGAGCACGCUUAGGCGUGUGACUGCGUACCUUUUGUAUAAUGGGUCAGCGACUUAUAUUCUGUAGCAAGGUUAACCGAAUAGGGGAGCCGAAGGGAAACCGAGUCUUAACUGGGCGUUAAGUUGCAGGGUAUAGACCCGAAACCCGGUGAUCUAGCCAUGGGCAGGUUGAAGGUUGGGUAACACUAACUGGAGGACCGAACCGACUAAUGUUGAAAAAUUAGCGGAUGACUUGUGGCUGGGGGUGAAAGGCCAAUCAAACCGGGAGAUAGCUGGUUCUCCCCGAAAGCUAUUUAGGUAGCGCCUCGUGAAUUCAUCUCCGGGGGUAGAGCACUGUUUCGGCAAGGGGGUCAUCCCGACUUACCAACCCGAUGCAAACUGCGAAUACCGGAGAAUGUUAUCACGGGAGACACACGGCGGGUGCUAACGUCCGUCGUGAAGAGGGAAACAACCCAGACCGCCAGCUAAGGUCCCAAAGUCAUGGUUAAGUGGGAAACGAUGUGGGAAGGCCCAGACAGCCAGGAUGUUGGCUUAGAAGCAGCCAUCAUUUAAAGAAAGCGUAAUAGCUCACUGGUCGAGUCGGCCUGCGCGGAAGAUGUAACGGGGCUAAACCAUGCACCGAAGCUGCGGCAGCGACGCUGAUGCGUUGUUGGGUAGGGGAGCGUUCUGUAAGCCUGCGAAGGUGUGCUGUGAGGCAUGCUGGAGGUAUCAGAAGUGCGAAUGCUGACAUAAGUAACGAUAAAGCGGGUGAAAAGCCCGCUCGCCGGAAGACCAAGGGUUCCUGUCCAACGUUAAUCGGGGCAGGGUGAGUCGACCCCUAAGGCGAGGCCGAAAGGCGUAGUCGAUGGGAAACAGGUUAAUAUUCCUGUACUUGGUGUUACUGCGAAGGGGGGACGGAGAAGGCUAUGUUGGCCGGGCGACGGUUGUCCCGGUUUAAGCGUGUAGGCUGGUUUUCCAGGCAAAUCCGGAAAAU
Molecule: ribosomal RNA, 1063 nt
Filed under: Escherichia coli
Lineage: Bacteria; Pseudomonadati; Pseudomonadota; Gammaproteobacteria; Enterobacterales; Enterobacteriaceae
Description: partial 23S ribosomal RNA
Rfam family: Bacterial large subunit ribosomal RNA
Source: RNAcentral